AGACCCGAAACCCGGUGAUCUAGCCAUGGGCAGGUUGAAGGUUGGGUAACACUAACUGGAGGACCGAACCGACUAAUGUUGAAAAAUUAGCGGAUGACCUGUGGCUGGGGGUGAAAGGCCAAUCAAACCGGGAGAUAGCUGGUUCUCCCCGAAAGCUAUUUAGGUAGCGCCUCGUGAAUUCAUCUCCGGGGGUAGAGCACUGUUUCGGCUAGGGGGCCAUCCCGGCUUACCAACCCGAUGCAAACUGCGAAUACCGGAGAAUGUUAUCACGGGAGACACACGGCGGGUGCUAACGUCCGUCGUGAAGAGGGAAACAACCCAGACCGCCAGCUAAGGUCCCAAAGUCAUGGUUAAGUGGGAAACGAUGUGGGAAGGCCCAGACAGCCAGGAUGUUGGCUUAGAAGCAGCCAUCAUUUAAAGAAAGCGUAAUAGCUCACUGGUCGAGUCGGCCUGCGCGGAAGAUGUAACGGGGCUAAACCAUGCACCGAAGCUGCGGCAGCGACACUGUGUGUUGUUGGGUAGGGGAGCGUUCUGUAAGCCUGUGAAGGUGUGUCGUGAGGCAUGCUGGAGGUAUCAGAAGUGCGAAUGCUGACAUAAGUAACGAUAAAGCGGGUGAAAA
Molecule: ribosomal RNA, 619 nt
Filed under: Salmonella enterica subsp. enterica
Lineage: Bacteria; Pseudomonadati; Pseudomonadota; Gammaproteobacteria; Enterobacterales; Enterobacteriaceae
Description: partial 23S ribosomal RNA
Rfam family: Bacterial large subunit ribosomal RNA
Source: RNAcentral